Molecule: ribosomal RNA, 292 nt
Filed under: uncultured bacterium
Lineage: Bacteria
Description: partial 16S ribosomal RNA
Rfam family: Bacterial small subunit ribosomal RNA
Source: RNAcentral
GUGUCAGCCGCCGCGGUAAUACGUAGGGGGCAAGCGUUGUCCGGAUUUAUUGGGCGUAAAGAGCGUGUAGGCGGCCCGACAGGUCCGUUGUGAAAACUCGAGGCUCAACCUCGAGACGUCGAUGGAAACCGUCGGGCUAGAGUCCGGAAGAGGAGAGUGGAAUUCCUGGUGUAGCGGUGAAAUGCGCAGAUAUCAGGAGGAACACCCGUGGCGAAAGCGGCUCUCUGGGACGGUACUGACGCUGAGACGCGAAAGCGUGGGGAGCGAACAGGAUUAGAAACCCCAGUAGUCC